UACGAAGGGGGCUAGCGUUGCUCGGAAUUACUGGGCGUAAAGCGCACGUAGGCGGCUUCUUAAGUCGGUGGUGAAAUCCUGGAGCUCAACUCCAGAACUGCCUUCGAUACUGGGAAGCUCGAGUCCGGGAGAGGUGAGUGGAACUGCGAGUGUAGAGGUGAAAUUCGUAGAUAUUCGCAAGAACACCAGUGGCGAAGGCGGCUCACUGGCCCGGUACUGACGCUGAGGUGCGAAAGCGUGGGGAGCGAACGGG
Molecule: ribosomal RNA, 253 nt
Filed under: uncultured bacterium
Lineage: Bacteria
Description: partial 16S ribosomal RNA
Rfam family: Bacterial small subunit ribosomal RNA
Source: RNAcentral